UGANCGCUGGCGGUCUGCUUAACACAUGCAAGUCGAACGAACUCUUCGGAGUGAGUGGCGGACGGGUGAGUAACGCGUGAGAAUCUGCCUGUGGGUCGGGGACAACCACUGGAAACGGUGGCUAAUACCGGAUGAGCCGAAAGGUAAAAAAUUUAUUGCCCACAGAUGAGCUCGCGUCUGAUUAGCUAGUUGGUAAGGUAAAAGCGUACCAAGGCGACGAUCAGUAGCUGGUCUGAGAGGAUGAGCAGCCACACUGGGACUGAGACACGGCCCAGACUCCUACGGGAGGCAGCAGUGGGGAAUUUUCCGCAAUGGGCGAAAGCCUGACGGAGCAAGACCGCGUGGGGGAGGAAGGUUUUUGGAUCGUAAACCCCUUUUGUCAAGGAAGAAGUUCUGACGGUACUUGACGAAUAAGCCUCGGCUAACUCCGUGCCAGCAGCCGCGGUAAUACGGAGGAGGCAAGCGUUAUCCGGAAUGAUUGGGCGUAAAGCGUCUGUAGGUGGCCAGCUAAGUCUGCUGUUAAAGAUCACAGCUCA
This 536-nucleotide ribosomal RNA is filed under the name uncultured bacterium. RNAcentral's name for it is "bacterial SSU rRNA". It matches the Rfam family "Bacterial small subunit ribosomal RNA", at positions 30 to 611 of the family's 1533-position model. The record is from RNAcentral.